GGGGGGGGGGGAGGCGGGGGCGGGGCGGGGAGGCGGGGACCCGCUCGGCGGGGGAGUCACGAGGCCGGCGCUCGCGGGGGCAGCUCGCCCGCCCGGCGGCGGGGCCCCUGUGCAGGUGUCUGACCGCCGCUGGAGCUCUACGGGGCGAUUAGAAAUCCAGCUCACGGGGUUUGCGAUCGGGCAAUGUUGGGAGAGAUGAUGUUGGGAAAAAGCUAAUUCCUAGCGGAGAAUCCUGCCUCGGCGGGCGCUUCUUCUUUCUCCCCUCCUUCGCCCUGCUUGCCGUCCCUUGGAGAAGCCUAGAACAGCUGCCUUGCCUUCGUCAGUUUCCUGUGUCUGCCCAGGACUGGGGAUUCCAUAAGGUUUUCUCUGGGUGGUGUCCUUGGGGUCGCUCUGCUGAGCUAGCUUGGCUGUGGAGGCAGAGCAGACAGAUGAGGGGCCCACCCAGGCCCGGGAGUUUCCUCGCUCGGGUUUCUUCGUCUAGUUAGAGGCAUCUCCCAACUAUCUCCUUGGAACCCAGCUGCCUGCUACCACCAGAGGGAACGGGUCCAACGGCCCUUCCUCUGAGCCCCUCCCCCUGCCUUGAGAUGGGGGAAAAAAUAAAAAAAUAAAAGAUCUUGGUGAUUGA
This is a long non-coding RNA of Meriones unguiculatus (Mongolian gerbil), 625 nucleotides long. RefSeq lists it as uncharacterized. The transcript is spliced from 2 exons. Lineage: Eukaryota; Metazoa; Chordata; Mammalia; Rodentia; Muridae. The record is from RefSeq and is a predicted model, not a curated record.